Molecule: long non-coding RNA, 420 nt
Organism: Fukomys damarensis (Damara mole-rat)
Lineage: Eukaryota; Metazoa; Chordata; Mammalia; Rodentia; Bathyergidae
Exons: 3
Source: RefSeq, a predicted model, not a curated record
ACUAUUCAUUAGGUGACCAACCCAGGGAAGCUCAACCAUGAUUAACAAUCCAGAAUUUGUGAACCCCUUGAAAACUAGAUGGAAAAAGACACUGAUAAUUUAACCAAGCCCCAACACAAGAACAUGAGACUCUCCCUGAAUUAUCACGAAGAUGGCAAGCUGUCUAGUCAAAGGUUUCCUUACAGAUUAAGACACAAGAUUUAUAUCAGAAUUGGAGGCCAGUGCUAAGGACUGAGACCGAACCAGGGCCUCACGCCGGCUAGGUCGGCGCUAGGCUACCCUGUGCUGAACGUGCAUGCCAGAGGUCAUCCACACAGACAAGCAGAGAAGACCAGAAUCCAAGGUUAGAGGUCAGAGGAAUGCGACAGACUUGUGACAGUAUGCAGAAACCAGAAUGGAUGGUGAAAAAGAAGCUAAACU